Molecule: ribosomal RNA, 253 nt
Filed under: uncultured bacterium
Lineage: Bacteria
Description: partial 16S ribosomal RNA
Rfam family: Bacterial small subunit ribosomal RNA
Source: RNAcentral
UACGUAGGGUGCAAGCGUUAAUCGGAAUUACUGGGCGUAAAGCGUGCGCAGGCGGUGAUGUAAGACAGUUGUGAAAUCCCCGGGCUCAACCUGGGAACUGCAUCUGUGACUGCAUCGCUGGAGUGCGGCAGAGGGGGAUGGAAUUCCGCGUGUAGCAGUGAAAUGCGUAGAUAUGCGGAGGAACACCGAUGGCGAAGGCAAUCCCCUGGGCCUGCACUGACGCUCAUGCACGAAAGCGUGGGGAGAAAACAGG